GAUGAACGCUGGCGGCGUGCCUAAUACAUGCAAGUCGAGCGAACAGAUAAGGAGCUUGCUCCUUUGACGUUAGCGGCGGACGGGUGAGUAACACGUGGGUAACCUACCUAUAAGACUGGAAUAACUCCGGGAGACCGGGGCUAAUGCCGGAUAACAUUUAGAACCGCAUGGUUCUAAAGUGAAAGAUGGUUUUGCUAUCACUUAUAGAUGGACCCGCGCCGUAUUAGCUAGCUGGUAAGGUAACGGCUUACCAAGGCAACGAUACGUAGCCGACCUGAGAGGGUGAUCGGCCACACUGGAACUGAGACACGGUCCAGACUCCUACGGGAGGCAGCAGUAGGGAAUCUUCCGCAAUGGGCGAAAGCCUGACGGAGCAACGCCGCGUGAGUGAUGAAGGUCUUCGGAUCGUAAAACUCUGUUAUUAGGGAAGAACAAAUGUGUAAGUAACUGUGCACGUCUUGACGGUACCUAAUCAGAAAGCCACGGCUAACUACGUG
RNAcentral lists this ribosomal RNA (497 nucleotides) under uncultured bacterium. Its description in RNAcentral is "partial 16S ribosomal RNA". It matches the Rfam family "Bacterial small subunit ribosomal RNA", at positions 28 to 507 of the family's 1533-position model. The record is from RNAcentral.